Molecule: long non-coding RNA, 2188 nt
Organism: Oncorhynchus kisutch (coho salmon)
Lineage: Eukaryota; Metazoa; Chordata; Actinopteri; Salmoniformes; Salmonidae
Source: Ensembl
UGAUACCAGACACUCUAUCUUGCGUGGGAACUGUUCGCUUUCAUGAUCUUCAGAAAAGCAGGUAUAGUUGUACUGAAAAUCUUCCCUGGACAGAUGUGGAAAAUACAAUGGUAGUGUGCAGAGGUCACCAUUCUUUGUGACAUUUUUUGUUUCCCUUGGCCUAGGACAAUGAGGACAGUCUGAGAGUUUGACCCAGUGUCCAUGGACAAAUCCAGAGGAGCAGUUGUAGGUGCAGUUCAACACUAAAGGCUCUCCAACUGCUGCAUGGAUGACUUCAUGCUGUUUCUGCAGGGAGCUACUGCCCAUGGAAAAGGACCUCCCAGCCUUUGACCUGUCUUGCCAAACAGUGCAAGAGCUGCAAUGGGACCUUUCUAUGUGGAGGUACUGUGGUACCUCGCUGGAGUAGGACAGGGGCAGAGCUAACUCAGCCGUCAAGACAGCUUGUCCCCCCAUGCCCUCCUGGGACACACAGGGACAGUGAGGAGGGAGCAGCCUGCAUGUUUUGUCCUUUAGGUCAUUACUGUGUUGGAGGUGUUGCUUUGCCGUGCCCAGCAGGAACCUACGGACCCAAAGAGGCUUUCAUGGGGUGAGGGACUGCCCCCCCUGUCCAGCAGGUAAUCAGACCAUCCUCAGGUCAUCUCCACAGUGGGGAUUCAGUAAAGUUACAAUACCAACAUAAAUAUAUAGUCGAUUAUUAUAAAAGUUGAAUCAGAGGCUGACAUAAAAAACAAAAUACACAUGUAAAACAUACAUGUAAGUUUCCUGCUUCUUGUUCUGCAGCGUUUGUGGUUUAUUUUAUCUUUUGUGAUGUUAUGUGUGCUAUGCUAUGUUUUGUCAUGUCAUCUUAUGUUAUCUCUAUUGUCUGGAAGGGAUGAGUAAUUGUGACACUUACAAUAAUACUCUUCAACAGGGUUUUACUGUUUGGAAGACAGCUCACGGAGACCGGGCUCCCAAUUCAUGUGCCCACAAGGGUAUUACUGUGAGGAGGGCACAGAAAUGCCCCACGGGUCACCUUGCCCCGCUGGCACUGCAGGAGAACAACUGGGCCAGACAAGUAGGACAGCCUGAGAUGUUCAGAGGGACGAUUGUGUCCUGCAGACCGACUGAUGGGCCAAUUGGAGGCUUGUGUCCAGCAGGAAGUUACUGCCCUCCUGGCUCUCCCCAUGCCUCCGACAAUUUUAGCAUUCAGCACUGGCCUCCGCACCUCCCAGCAGCGUGUUGACUGCCCAGCUGUUUAAGAACUCAUAGUUAGGGCCUGGAGUCCCAGUCAGAUCACAUGGUCAGAAAAACUAGCCCCAUCUAUUAUCGAGAUCCGAUUCAGCUAUACUUUUUUUAUGUUUUCAAUUUAUAGAAAAGCACCCACUCUCUGUGUCAUCAUCAUCAAAGUGUUUCUUUGUUUUAGGUCCUAUUGUUUAGGUUCAAAUAAUACUUCUCCAAUUGGCCUGUGAUCUGCUGGUUUCUACUGUACUCUGUAUCACCUGCUCAGAAUGAGGCUGAGGAGGGUCAGUAUGCCCUGAUCCCUGUCCCAUUGGCACCGGUACAGUACAUGUAGUGCACGAUGUAGGGGAGGGAUCAGAGCAGGUAGCCUAGCGGUUAAGAGUGUUGAGCCAGUAAUUGAAAGGUCACUGGUUCAAAUCCCUGAGUCAACUAGGCAAAAAAUCUGUAGAUGUGCCAUUGAGCAAGGCACUUAACCCUAAUUGCUCAUGUAAGUCGCUCUGGAUAAGAGUGUUUACUAAAUAACUCAAAUGUAAAAUAUAAACAUAAUUACACAUAAGAUGUUGACUGCAAAUUGACUGCACAAAGCCCAAACAGAUAUGUUUGACUGAAACAUAAUCAUGUCCAACCUUGCUUACAUUUGUAUACAAUGCGUGGGAGUACUUGAACAGAUUAUUUUCUAAUUAAAAUCACUUGUUGCUGAUUUCCUGAUGUUUUUAGUCUAUUAUGUCCAACAAUAAAAUAUGUAUAAAUAAAAAGUUAAUAUAUACAGUACCAGUCAAAAGUUGACACCUACUCAUUCCAGGGUUUUUCUUUAUUUGUACUAUUUUCUACAUUGUAGAAUAACAGUGAAGACAUCAAAACUAUGAAAUAUGUGGAAUCAUGUAGAAACCAAAAAAGUGUUAAAGAAUCACAUCAGUGACUCAACCCACUCAAGUCGAGUAUAGCAAAAGCCUGGCACGCCGUGACGCGC